GACGAACGCUGGCGGCGUGCUUAACACAUGCAAGUCGAACGGAAAGGCCCUGCUUUUGUGGGGUGCUCGAGUGGCGAACGGGUGAGUAACACGUGAGUAACCUGCCCUUGACUUUGGGAUAACUUCAGGAAACUGGGGCUAAUACCGGAUAGGAGCUCCUGCUGCAUGGUGGGGGUUGGAAAGUUUCGGCGGUUGGGGAUGGACUCGCGGCUUAUCAGCUUGUUGGUGGGGUAGUGGCUUACCAAGGCUUUGACGGGUAGCCGGCCUGAGAGGGUGACCGGCCACAUUGGGACUGAGAUACGGCCCAGACUCCUACGGGGGGCAGCAGUGGGGAAUAUUGCACAAUGGGCGGAAGCCUGAUGCAGCAACGCCGCGUGCGGGAUGACGGCCUUCGGGUUGUAAACCGCUUUCGCCUGUGACGAAGCGUGAGUGACGGUAAUGGGUAAAGAAGCACCGGCUAACUACGUGCCAGCAGCCGCGGUGAUACGUAGGGUGCGAGCGUUGUCCGGAUUUAUUGGGCGUAAAGGGCUCGUAGGUGGUUGAUCGCGUCGGAAGUGUAAUCUUGGGGCUUAACCCUGAGCGUGCUUUCGAUACGGGUUGACUUGAGGAAGGUAGGGGAGAAUGGAAUUCCUGGUGGAGCGGUGGAAUGCGCAGAUAUCAGGAGGAACACCAGUGGCGAAGGCGGUUCUCUGGGCCUUUCCUGACGCUGAGGAGCGAAAGCGUGGGGAGCGAACAGGCUUAGAUACCCUGGUAGUCCACGCUGUAAACGGUGGGUACUAGGUGUGGGGCCCAUUCCACGGGUUCCGUGCCGUAGCUAACGCUUUAAGUACCCCGCCUGGGGAGUACGGCCGCAAGGCUAAAACUCAAAGGAAUUGACGGGGCCCCGCACAAGCGGCGGAGCAUGCGGAUUAAUUCGAUGCAACGCGUAGAACCUUACCUGGGUUUGACAUGGAUCGGGAGCGCUCAGAGAUGGGUGUGCCUCUUUUGGGGUCGGUUCACAGGUGGUGCAUGGCUGUCGUCAGCUCGUGUCGUGAGAUGUUGGGUUAAGUCCCGCAACGAGCGCAACCCUUGUUCACUGUUGCCAGCACGUUAUGGUGGGGACUCAGUGGAGACCGCCGGGGUCAACUCGGAGGAAGGUGGGGAUGACGUCAAGUCAUCAUGCCCCUUAUGUCCAGGGCUUCACGCAUGCUACAAUGGCUGGUACAGAGAGUGGCGAGCCUGUGAGGGUGAGCGAAUCUCGGAAAGCCGGUCUCAGUUCGGAUUGGGGUCUGCAACUCGACCUCAUGAAGUCGGAGUCGCUAGUAAUCGCAGAUCAGCAACGCUGCGGUGAAUACGUUCCCGGG
This 1343-nucleotide ribosomal RNA is filed under the name uncultured bacterium. RNAcentral describes it as "16S ribosomal RNA". It matches the Rfam family "Bacterial small subunit ribosomal RNA", at positions 28 to 1378 of the family's 1533-position model. The record is from RNAcentral.